Small nucleolar RNA from Scleropages formosus (Asian bonytongue), 76 nucleotides. Ensembl annotates it as small nucleolar RNA SNORD61. Its record names the gene SNORD61. Lineage: Eukaryota; Metazoa; Chordata; Actinopteri; Osteoglossiformes; Osteoglossidae. The record is from Ensembl.
GCUGUGAUGAAAAUGCUUUAUUUGAUCAGUAAUGAGCUGAAAGAUCCUAAAUUGUCCUCUAAGAAGUUCUGAGCUU